Molecule: ribosomal RNA, 241 nt
Filed under: uncultured bacterium
Lineage: Bacteria
Description: partial 16S ribosomal RNA
Rfam family: Bacterial small subunit ribosomal RNA
Source: RNAcentral
UAAUGUCUGGGAAACUGCCUGAUGGAGGGGGAUAACUACUGGAAACGGUAGCUAAUACCGCAUAACGUCGCAAGACCAAANAGGGGGACCUUCGGGCCUCUUGCCAUCAGAUGUGCCCAGAUGGGAUUAGCUAGUAGGUGGGGUAACGGCUCACCUAGGUGACAAUCCCUAGCUGGUCUGAGAGGAUGACCAGCCACACUGGAACUGAGACACGGUCCAGACUCCUACGGGAGGCAGCAUG